RNAcentral lists this ribosomal RNA (874 nucleotides) under uncultured archaeon. RNAcentral describes it as "bacterial SSU rRNA". It matches the Rfam family "Archaeal small subunit ribosomal RNA", at positions 31 to 913 of the family's 1478-position model. The record is from RNAcentral.
UAUCGGAAUUCGAUUAAGCCAUGCGAGUCGAGAGGGUUCGGCCCUCGGCAGACUGCUCAGUAACACGUGGAUAACCUGCCCUCAGGUAGGGGAUAAUCUCGGGAAACUGAGGAUAAUACCCUAUAGACAUCCUUUGCUGGAAUGCUUGGAUGUUCAAAGGCGACGCCUGAGGAUGGGUCUGCGGCCUAUCAGGUCGUAGUGGGUGUAAUGGACCCACUAGCCAGCGACGGGUACGGGCCUUGGAAGAGGUAGCCCGGAGAUGGACUCUGAGACACGAGUCCAGGCCCUACGGGGCGCAGCAGGCGCGAAAACUUCGCAAUGCGGGAAACCGUGACGAGGGAAUUCCGAGUGCUCAUACAAUGUAUAGGCUUUUCUGACGUGUAAAAAGCAUCAGGAAUAAGGGCUGGGUAAGACCGGUGCCAGCCGCCGCGGUAAUACCGGCAGCUCUAGUGGUAGCCACUUUUAUUGGGCCUAAAGCGUCCGUAGCCGGUCAGGUAAAUCCUUGGGUAAAUCGUACAGCUCAACUGUGCGGCUUCCGGGGAGACUGCCUGACUUGGGACCGGGAGAGGUUGGAGGUACUCCUGGGGUAGGGGUGAAAUCCUGUAAUCCUAGGUGGACCACCGGUGGCGAAGGCGUCCAACCAGAACGGCUCCGACGGUGAGGGACGAAGGCUAGGGGCGCAAACCGGAUUAGAUACCCGGGUAGUCCUAGCUGUAAACGCUGCAGACUUGGUGUUGGAGAUCCCACGAGGGUGUCCAGUGCCGAAGAGAAGUUGUUAAGUUUGCCGCCUGGGAAGUAUGGUCGCAAGACUGAAACUUAAAGGAAUUGGCGGGGGAGCACCGCAACGGGAGGAGCGUGCGGUUUAAUUGGAUUC